RNAcentral lists this transfer RNA (56 nucleotides) under Cavia porcellus (domestic guinea pig). It matches the Rfam family "tRNA". Rfam says of the family: Transfer RNA (tRNA) molecules are approximately 80 nucleotides in length. Their secondary structure includes four short double-helical elements and three loops (D, anti-codon, and T loops). Lineage: Eukaryota; Metazoa; Chordata; Mammalia; Rodentia; Caviidae. The record is from Rfam by way of RNAcentral.
GGGGAUUUAGCUCAGUGGCAUAAGCACCUGUCUUGCAAGCAGGUGAUCAAUCCCCG